GGGGAUAUAGCUCAGCAGCACAGUGCCUGCCUGGCAAGCAUGAGAUCCCAAGUUCCAUAUCUGGUUAUUCCUG
RNAcentral lists this transfer RNA (73 nucleotides) under Cavia porcellus (domestic guinea pig). It matches the Rfam family "tRNA". Rfam says of the family: Transfer RNA (tRNA) molecules are approximately 80 nucleotides in length. Their secondary structure includes four short double-helical elements and three loops (D, anti-codon, and T loops). The record is from Rfam by way of RNAcentral. Lineage: Eukaryota; Metazoa; Chordata; Mammalia; Rodentia; Caviidae.